RNAcentral lists this ribosomal RNA (229 nucleotides) under uncultured bacterium. RNAcentral's name for it is "partial 16S ribosomal RNA". It matches the Rfam family "Bacterial small subunit ribosomal RNA", at positions 107 to 334 of the family's 1533-position model. The record is from RNAcentral.
UGAGUAACACGUACCCAACCUGCCGUCUACUCUUGGCCAGCCUUCUGAAAGGAAGAUUAAUCCAGGAUGGCAUCAUGAGUUCACAUGUCCGCAUGAUUAAAGGUAUUUUCCGGUAGACGAUGGGGAUGCGUUCCAUUAGAUAGUAGGCGGGGUAACGGCCCACCUAGUCAACGAUGGAUAGGGGUUCUGAGAGGAAGGUCCCCCACAUUGGAGCUGAGACACGGUCCAA